GCCAGGGCAGAAACAGUGUGGGGAGUGUAGGUGAGGAGGGAGAGAUGUCUUUUCGCUGUAUCCCUCCGGAAUUCUGGCUUUUAAAUCUCCAAGGAGUUGAGUGUUCUGAUGCUUUCUUGCUGUUCUUUCCUGCUACAAGUGGAAGGAGCCUGGGUAACUAUGAAACACUUCUUCCUUCCCUAACCAGGUGCACGGUAGGACCAAUAACCUGAAGUGUGGGCAUCAUCUUUGGGAGGCUCCUCAGUGGGUUUCUCAGUAAGCAAGAGGAUUAAAAAAGAUCUAAAAGAAAUUUUACUACUGGUAAUUUGGAAUCUUCAUCUCAGAUGCUUUGGACCUGGGAAAUUUCUGCAGUGGGUGGGGAGUUUGUUCUCUAAUAUUUCACUUGGCAGUGUUUUAAUGCCCAAAGCAUAUUUAUACACUAAAUGGAUGCUUCCACAGCAUCAUUGAGGUUAUUAAAGGCUGGCAGCUGCUGGAUCACAAAAUCCUACCAGCCAGCCCACACAAUGACCAACAUCUGCUAGCGGAUGGCCCAAGACUGACUGACAGGAGAGCUCAUUUGGAUGAAUGGCCGUUUUAGGGGCCCUCCCGAUUAAAUGGAAAGGGGUUAUAUUGUGAUUCUUGGCCCUAUCCUCUCAUCUUUGGACCAGACACAUUUUCCUCCAGCCCUUGUCAGCUUUUAUGUGAGCAAACAAGGUAUGGGCCAGAUGCUGUUCACAGGGAAUCCUUUUCAGCCUUCAGCAGUUAAGGAAGAUUUUCGUCAUAUGGGAGCCUCAGCCCACAGGGAAAAUGACUUGCUGAGG
This 800-nucleotide long non-coding RNA is filed under the name Homo sapiens (human). RNAcentral describes it as "HSALNT0031685". Lineage: Eukaryota; Metazoa; Chordata; Mammalia; Primates; Hominidae. The record is from RNAcentral.